UACGUAGGGUGCGAGCGUUAAUCGGAAUUACUGGGCGUAAAGCGUGCGCAGGCGGUUAGAUAAGUUUGAUGUGAAAUCCCCGGGCUCAACCUGGGAACUGCAUUGAAGACUGUCUGACUAGAGUACGGCAGAGGGGGGUGGAAUUCCACGUGUAGCAGUGAAAUGCGUAGAGAUGUGGAGGAACACCGAUGGCGAAGGCAGCCCCCUGGGUCGAUACUGACGCUCAUGCACGAAAGCGUGGGGAGCAAACAGG
RNAcentral lists this ribosomal RNA (253 nucleotides) under uncultured bacterium. RNAcentral describes it as "partial 16S ribosomal RNA". It matches the Rfam family "Bacterial small subunit ribosomal RNA", at positions 524 to 776 of the family's 1533-position model. The record is from RNAcentral.